CUCGCAGGCUAGGCAGCCGCGGGGAUCGUCAGCGGCGAUCCCCGAGGAAAGUCCGGACAUCAGAAGGCGAGGUGGUCGGGGAAUCCGACCCGGGGAAACCCGCGGGAAAGUGCCACAGAAAAGACACCGCCGACGUUCGCGGCCACACGUGAGUCGCGGACGGGUAAGGGUGAAAUGGUGCGGUAAGAGCGCACCGGCGUCGCGGCGACGCGGCGGCCUGGCAAACCCCACCUGAUGCAAGGCCAAGCAGGACCGCCACGAGGUUGCCCGCCCAGGUCCAGGUAGGCCGCUCAGAUGGAUGGCUGCCCACGACAGAAUCCGGCUUAUCGGCCUGCUAAGGGA
This 342-nucleotide RNase P RNA is filed under the name Actinomycetes bacterium. RNAcentral describes it as "Actinobacteria bacterium RNase P RNA component class A". It matches the Rfam family "Bacterial RNase P class A". Rfam says of the family: Ribonuclease P (RNase P) is a ubiquitous endoribonuclease, found in archaea, bacteria and eukarya as well as chloroplasts and mitochondria. Its best characterised activity is the generation of mature 5'-ends of tRNAs by cleaving the 5'-leader elements of precursor-tRNAs. Lineage: Bacteria; Bacillati; Actinomycetota; Actinomycetes. The record is from RNAcentral.